UACGAAGGGGGCUAGCGUUGUUCGGAUUUACUGGGCGUAAAGCGCACGUAGGUGGACAGUUAAGUGAGAGGUGAAAUCCCAAGGCUCAACCUUGGAACUGCCUUUCAUACUGGUUGUCUUGAGUUCGGAAGAGGUGAGUGGAAUUCCUAGUGUAGAGGUGAAAUUCGUAGAUAUUAGGAAGAACACCGGUGGCGAAGGCGGCUCACUGGUCCGAUACUGACACUGAGGUGCGAAAGCGUGGGGAGCAAACAGG
This 253-nucleotide ribosomal RNA is filed under the name uncultured bacterium. Its description in RNAcentral is "partial 16S ribosomal RNA". It matches the Rfam family "Bacterial small subunit ribosomal RNA", at positions 524 to 776 of the family's 1533-position model. The record is from RNAcentral.